RNAcentral lists this long non-coding RNA (906 nucleotides) under Mustela putorius furo (domestic ferret). RNAcentral describes it as "lncRNA (ENSMPUG00000026987.1)". The record is from RNAcentral. Lineage: Eukaryota; Metazoa; Chordata; Mammalia; Carnivora; Mustelidae.
GGAGAAGUAGAGGAGAGGAAACAGGCCAGCAUAAUCCCACAUUCUGAAAUUUUUACUAAUUAGAAACCAUUUGCUUGAAACAUGGCAAGAUCAGUAUUCCCAGAGAAAAAAAAAUCCCCUCUGAUCAAUAGAAUUCCAGUUUUAUUUUUGAUUUUCAGAAGACUCAGUCAUCGCUUUGAUGUCAGUGGUCAGGAGUAUCUCCUCUUUGUAAAUUUUGGAGUGAAGAAAAUAUCAAAACCUUUGUUUACUCUGCUGACUUGAUAGAUACCAAGAGGAGCAACUCUGUAGGGAUGAAGGGUAACUUGGAAAAGAAGCACUUUCAAAAUAAAACGAGCCGAAACAGGAAGUUCUCAACCGGGUUCUCCCACAAGUGCCAUGAGCCGAUGGCGGACAAUGGCCUGCUUCUUUGUCUGGCGAACGGCCACAUUAUUCUGCUUGUAAGAGAUGUUUUUGGACGUGGUAAACAUGGGUGACACUAAGUUGCUCAGUUGGGAACUUGGGUUUAAAGAACAACCUUCAGCCUUUGUGUCCUACCUCACCAAGAUCAAGCACCUCAGCCUUGCACUGCUUCCUGGAAGCGAGAUCCAGUCAGCACACUCCUAUAAAUGUCACCUUGGAUACAUUCCACUCAGGGAGAAAAAAAGAGAGAAAGGUCCAGCUCUGUCUGAUUGAUGGGCUCCCAAGAAUUUGCUCAAAAACCAUUUGCCGAAGAAGAAAGACAAAUCAGUGGGGCUGACUUCUUCCCCUGAAAUACUACUUCUAAUAAUGUUGGUAAGGGGUCUAUUUUUACACACAAUUUACAAAUUAUUUCUGGCAUAUUAAUGGAUUUUUGCCUAUUUAGAUGUUAUUUGUAUGAAAUGUGCUUAGUUUAAAAGUCAAAUACUACUACAAGACCUUUAAAGAAAA